AUGCCAUGUUGGGGACACUUCCUAAGUAGUCCUUUGAAUCUUUCCCAUGCUUCAUAUAGAGAUUCACUUCCUUUUUGUUCAAAAGAAGUGAUAUCCGCCUUGAGCUU
Molecule: small nucleolar RNA, 107 nt
Organism: Gastrolobium bilobum
Lineage: Eukaryota; Viridiplantae; Streptophyta; Magnoliopsida; Fabales; Fabaceae
Source: RefSeq, a predicted model, not a curated record